RNAcentral lists this ribosomal RNA (406 nucleotides) under uncultured bacterium. RNAcentral's name for it is "partial 16S ribosomal RNA". It matches the Rfam family "Bacterial small subunit ribosomal RNA", at positions 30 to 526 of the family's 1533-position model. The record is from RNAcentral.
AUUGAACGCUGGCGGCAUGCCUAACACAUGCAAGUCGAACGAGUGGCGGACGGGUGAGUAAUGUAUGGGAAACUGCCUAGUAGAGGGGGAUAACUACUGGAAACGGUGGCUACUACCGCAUAACAUCCUAUCUGCCCUCAUGGGAUUAGCUUGUUGGUGGGGUAACGGCUCACCAAGGCGACGAUCCCUAGCUGGUCUGAGAGGCUGACCAGCGACACUGGAACUGAGACACGGUCCAGACUCCUACGGGAGGCAGCAGUGGGGAAUAUUGCGCAAUGGGAGAAAGCCUGAUCCAGCCAUGCCGCGUGUAUGAAGAAGGCCUUCGGGUUGUAAAGUACUUUUGGCGGGGAAGCGUUAUCUGCAGAAGAAGCACCGGCUAACUACGUGCCAGCAGCCGCGGUAAUAC